GCCUGGCUGGCUCAGUUGGUAGAGCAUGCAACUCUUGAUCUCAGGGUUGUGAGUUCAAGCCCCAUGUUGGGUG
This 73-nucleotide transfer RNA is filed under the name Canis lupus familiaris (dog). It matches the Rfam family "tRNA". Rfam says of the family: Transfer RNA (tRNA) molecules are approximately 80 nucleotides in length. RNAcentral also lists the same sequence under 2 other names. Lineage: Eukaryota; Metazoa; Chordata; Mammalia; Carnivora; Canidae. The record is from Rfam by way of RNAcentral.